GAUGAACGCUGGCGGCGUGCUUAACACAUGCAAGUCGAACGAAGCAUUUGCGACAGAUUUUUUCGGAAUGAAGUUGCUUAUGACUGAGUGGCGGACGGGUGAGUAACGCGUGGGUAACCUGCCUUGUACUGGGGGAUAGCAGCUGGAAACGGCUGGUAAUACCGCAUAAGCGCACAAUGUUGCAUGACAUGGUGUGAAAAACUCCGGUGGUAUAAGAUGGACCCGCGUCUGAUUAGCUAGUUGGUGAGAUAACAGCCCACCAAGGCGACGAUCAGUAGCCGACCUGAGAGGGUGACCGGCCACAUUGGGACUGAGACACGGCCCAGACUCCUACGGGAGGCAGCAGUGGGGAAUAUUGCACAAUGGAGGAAACUCUGAUGCAGCGACGCCGCGUGAGUGAAGUAGUAAUUCGUUAUGUAAAGCUCUAUCAGCAGGGAAGAUAGUGACGGUACCUGACUAAGAAGCUCCGGCUAAAUACGUG
This 481-nucleotide ribosomal RNA is filed under the name uncultured bacterium. Its description in RNAcentral is "partial 16S ribosomal RNA". It matches the Rfam family "Bacterial small subunit ribosomal RNA", at positions 28 to 507 of the family's 1533-position model. The record is from RNAcentral.